RNAcentral lists this long non-coding RNA (3678 nucleotides) under Drosophila guanche. The record is from RNAcentral. Lineage: Eukaryota; Metazoa; Arthropoda; Insecta; Diptera; Drosophilidae.
AUCCGAUAAAAUUAUAUGAUUUGUCUUGGGAGUCCUGGCUAGCUGGUAAAAUUAUAAGGAAUCUCAAAAUCAAUAAAUAAGACUUCCUAUUAACAAACAUUCCGGCUGCAAAAAUACCGUACAUUGGCAUUGGCCCCUUAUGUUUAAAAAAUAUUUCUAAAACAACCCAGCAAAGAAGAAAUCUUUAAAAUAAGCCGCCAUUGUAGAAAAAUGAUUUAUCUUUCUGUUCAGAUUAUAUGUUCAGCCUUAAGAGUUCUAGUAAUAUUAAACAGAAAUUUAAAACCGAAAACGAAAUUACAUACAUAUGUACAUAUAUUUUAUACCGUACACAUUGCACUCCCUACUUAUUGAAUUUUUAUACAUUGGCCCGGUUUCUUUAAACCUUAUUUCCCAAAAAAGCAAAUUAAAGGGGGUCCAGAACCAAGUGAAUCUACAUCAACAGAUUCAUUUGAUUCAUUCAGAUUUCUCUUUUUCAUUUCAGGUUCUUCAAAAUCUGUUGGUGUUGAUGUGCAAAAUUACUAAUAUUGAUGGGUGACUGGCUGCCUGUGUUCCCGAUUUAAGGGCAAAAGGCGUACAGAGAAGCUGCCAAUAUUUAAUUGAUUUAUCUUUUUCAUUUCAGGUUCUUCAGAAACUGCUAAAGGCGUUCAUCAAAUACAUGACCCUGGUCCGGUCACAUAUACACAUAUACGGUCACAAACUGCCAGAUUUUAAUUGACUUUUUCUUUUUCAUUUCAGGUUUUUCUGGAUCGGCUGGUGUUUAUAUGCAAAUUACUAUAUUUGAUGAAAUAAAUGGCUGCCUGUGUUCCCGAUUCAAUGGCAAAAGGCGUUCAUCAAAUACAUGACACUGGUCUGACCACAUAUACAUGGUAAUUUGCAUUUAUUAGCAGAUAAACUGCCAUAUUUUAAUUGAUUUUUCGUUUUCUUUUCAGGUUUACUAAAUUUGAUGAAAUAAAUGGCUGCCUAUGUUCCCGAUUUCAAGGGCAAAAGGCGUUCAUCAAAUACAUGACACUGGUCCGGCCACAUAUACAAGGUAAUUUGCAAUUAUUUACAGAUAAACUGCGAUAUUUUAAUUGAUUUUUCUUUUUCUUUUCGGGUUUGGUGGUGUUGGUGUGCAAAAUUACCGAUUAUGAUGAGUAAGUGGCUGCCUGUGUUCCCAAUUUCAAAGGCAAAGGGCGUUCAUCAAUACACAUGACACUGGUCCGGCCACAUAUAUAAGGUAAUUCGCAUUUAUUUACAGAGAAGCUGCCAAUAUUAAUUGACUUUUCUUUUUCUUUUCAGGUUCUUCAAAAUCGGCUGAUGUUGAUGUGUAAAAUUACUAGUACUGAUGAGUAAAUGGUUGCCUGUGUUCCCGAUUUAAGGGCAAUUGGCGUUCAUCAAUAUACGUGACACUGGUCCGGCCACGUAUACAAGGUAAUUUGCAUUUAUUAGCAGAAAAGCUGCCAAUAUUUAAUUGACUUUUCUUCUUUAUUUCAGGUUCUUCAGUAGCGGCUGGUGUUGAUGUGCAAAAAUUACUAAUAUUGAUGGGUGAAUGGCUGCCUGUGUUCCCGAUUUCAAGGGCACAAGGCGUUCAUCAAUAUACAUCAAUAUACAUGACACUGGUCCGGCCACAUAUAUAAGGUAAUUCGCAAAUAUUAGCAGAUAAGCUGCCAUGUUUUAAUUGAUUUUUCUUUUUCAUUUCAGUUUUUCUGGAUCGGCUGGUGUUUAGAUGAAAAAUUACUAAUACUGAUGAAUGAAUGACUGCAUGUGUUCCCAAUUUAAGGGAGAAAGGCGUUCAUCAAUAUUAUUUAAUAUACAUGAUCCUGGUCUGGUCACGUAUUUGGCCAUGGUAAUUUGCAAUUAUUAGCAGAUAAACUGCCAUAUUUAAUUGACUUUUCUUUUUCAUUUCAGGUUCUUCAGUAGCGGCUGGUGUUGAUGUGCGCUAGAGUGAAGAAGCUUCAUUGGCUGCUGAACAGCAACAGCAAACUAUGCCUGAAUGCUAAGGUACUCCUGUAUAAACAAGUCAUCGCACCCAUAUGGCAAUAUACUCUGCCUGUUUGGGGUCCCCUUGCCUCUAGCCUUGAAUUUGGUCGCCUGCAAACUGAGCAGAACAAAACGUUACGGACUAUCACUAAUGCCCCAUGGUAUGUUCGUAACGAUACCAUCCACCGGGACCUGGGCCUUGAGACGGUGGAUGAGGUUUAUGCAAAAGUUUGUAAGAGAUAUGUUGACCGAAUGAGAACGCACAAUAACCAGCAAGCAGCAGCAGUCAUCAACGACCCAUAUGUCCCCAUGUCCCCAUGUCCCCAUAUAUGUAGGCUAACCAGACCUCGAUAUUCCGAUUACUUGAACACACACCUACGUAAGGAAAUUGAGAGGCAGGAAUGGAAUCGUAUGGAAGUUGUACCCUAUCAGCGGCCAUACACGGAAAUGGAAUAGCUUUGGAGAGACAGGGCAGACGCGUCAAAUAGGAGAGCAAUGCGAGCCAUGGGAUAUGAAGGGUAGAGGAGCCACAACCCCCCCCUCAGAAAGAGGUAUCAGCACCACACAAAGUUAUUACAGUACGGAUAUUUUAGCUAGGGCAAGGGAACGCGCAAGAUCGGGGGUGAAUGCAGUCACCCAAGAGCAGCAGCCAACAACAGCAAUAUUAAAUACAUUUAUUGCUGCUGACGAAAUUGCGCAGUUCGAUAUUGUAGACCUGACUGUGGGACGUUACGGAUGAGUCACACAAAUGAACAAGAAUAGCUUCCGUUGGUCAAUCUGAACCUCAGGACGACACUGAGGCUGCCCAGGAUCAGGACGCCAGCACCAGAAACGCCGGACUCUGGUACACGGAUGACCAUGGAGAUACCGGAAUAUGAUUCUGCAUUGAAUAUUGUAUGCAAGUGCCAUUUUUGAAACCGAGGCCCGAAACGCGUCUGAAAACGAUGCUGCUGAAAGAUAAACUGAUCGCAGAUAAGCCGCAGCAACUCGCCUGCAGCUAUUUUUCUUUUCUCCCUUCUACACACACACAACCGAAACCAGUAGAAGAGAGACGACACCAGCAACAACGCUCUAGAUAUUCUGAUUGAGAUAAAUCGAGCGCACACCCACUCACAUGCCUAUACACAUAAAUUUCUCGCUGCCUCGGACCAGAAGGCAGCGAAAAUGUUAAAACAGAAGGAAGACAGAAACUUGAAAACAUAGCUAUAACAAAAAAUAUAAUUAACACAUAUAUGUAAAUAUUUUUCACCUCUUCCGCUGCACUGACAGAAAUCACUUUUUCUUCUAUUACCUAUAUAUAUUUAUCUCUAGAGUUUUAAGUCACUUAUCUCUAAUGAAUUCCCUAUUGCCCUCCCCCGAUCAGUGGACUGCUGUUGGGGUCGAGGUAUUGUUUAAAUUUUAAAUGAAUGCGCAGACAGAGAUGUCGGAAGAGGAGAUUCCCGCUGCCGUAAAGUGACGUAUGCGCUGCCUAUUACUGAAAAACUGCAGUCAACAGGCAGACUCAUACAAUAUUUUUAAGUAAAACAGCAGCCCCAUGAAAUUGUAAUAUUAUGCUAAGUAUAGUAUAAAUACAAUAAAAUCCACCUUAUCGUAACGUAUAAUGGCUCUCCUGAACCUGCUGGUUCAGGUCCAGGAUGGAGUUGGUUUACGUUACGAUUAGACACUCUCGUAUUGCCACCGCAGCAUACGACAAACAAAAAACAAAUUCCAAAUCGAGGA